GGCUAACUUCGUGCCAGCAGCCGCGGUAAUACGAAGGGAGCUAGCGUUACUCGGAAUUAUUGGGCGUAAAGCGUACGUAGGCGGCUUAGUAAGUUGGGAGUGAAAUCCUUGGGCUCAACCCAAGAAUUGCUUUCAAAACUACUAGGCUAGAGUAUCAGAGGGGAUGGCGGAAUUCCUAGUGUAGAGGUGAAAUUCGUAGAUAUUAGGAGGAACACCGGUGGCGAAAGCGGCCAUCUGGCUGAUUACUGACGCUGUUGUACGAAAGCGUGGGGAGCAAACAGGAUUAGAUACCCUGGUAGUCCAC
RNAcentral lists this ribosomal RNA (304 nucleotides) under uncultured Candidatus Lariskella sp. Its description in RNAcentral is "bacterial SSU rRNA". It matches the Rfam family "Bacterial small subunit ribosomal RNA", at positions 495 to 798 of the family's 1533-position model. Lineage: Bacteria; Pseudomonadati; Pseudomonadota; Alphaproteobacteria; Rickettsiales; Candidatus Midichloriaceae. The record is from RNAcentral.